RNAcentral lists this ribosomal RNA (253 nucleotides) under uncultured bacterium. RNAcentral's name for it is "partial 16S ribosomal RNA". It matches the Rfam family "Bacterial small subunit ribosomal RNA", at positions 524 to 776 of the family's 1533-position model. The record is from RNAcentral.
UACGAAGGGGGCUAGCGUUGCUCGGAAUUACUGGGCGUAAAGCGCACGUAGGCGGCUUUCUAAGUCGGGGGUGAAAUCCUGGAGCUCAACUCCAGAACUGCCUUCGAUACUGGAAAGCUCGAGUCCGGGAGAGGUGAGUGGAACUGCGAGUGUAGAGGUGAAAUUCGUAGAUAUUCGCAAGAACACCAGUGGCGAAGGCGGCUCACUGGCCCGGUACUGACGCUGAGGUGCGAAAGCGUGGGGAGCAAGCAGG